GUAGAGCAAAGUCAUAAGCAAUAUAUUGAAGUAGAACAAAGUCAUAUUCAUAAUAUUGAAGAACAAAGAUUAUUAGAAGAACAAUUAGAAGCACAAUUAGAGAAUUACCAAGAAUCCUCUUGACAGAUCUGGAAACCAAUCGAAGAUUGACUCCUUCUAGUUCUAAUCCUAUGUGGCUAUGCUAAUCUAGAUGUCUAAUUGAUGUGGUGGCUCUAGGCUUGAUCAGAGGCUUUUCUCCCUUGAGGAAUAAUGAAUUAUGGUUGAGAGGCUCUCUCCUCCAGGGGCCAGGGGGUCUGGUUUUAUAGUCCCUUCAAGUGAAUAUGGGCCGUUGGAUCAAACUGACAUUGAUUGAACGGUUAUCCUUGAUCCUUUAGGUCGGUGGAGAUUGAUCCCGAAAGAGAGUCCUGAUCCAACUCAGAGAGGAGGCGGGCGCCCAGGGCAACUGGGCGGGCGCCCAGGGCCUGGCCCCGUUCGGCCUCCGCUUCCUUCCCGUGGCUUCUAGAGUCUUCUAGAUGUAAGAUAAUUGCGCGGCACGUUGAUAUCUCUAUGUAAUCCUGACGUGUGGGCCUUUCUUCCGUAUUUCCUGAUAACCCCUAUAGAAAUAGACAAACACCAAAACUCGUGGAAUUCUGUCAGAUAAAACCCUAAGUCUAGAUCUUGAUUUCAUUUGGAUCCUUUUCUUUGUUUAUUUGAUAAUUAAAUUUGAUACUUAAGGACCGUCAACAAUAUCAUACCAUGAAAAUUGCUCAGUUCAAGUAAACAACAAAUUUAAUGUAAAUAUACCUCCCAAAAAAGAUGUACCAUGCCCAACAGGUGUGUUGCAUUGUUGUUCAUGUGGCACAUGCACAUUCAUCGCUGCACUAGUACCGCAACCGCAACGAGCUGCAUCACGUCGUAGCCUACAUGCUUGCCU
Molecule: long non-coding RNA, 913 nt
Filed under: Sorghum bicolor (sorghum)
Lineage: Eukaryota; Viridiplantae; Streptophyta; Magnoliopsida; Poales; Poaceae
Description: long non-coding RNA (SBIC_LNC004397)
Source: RNAcentral